This 470-nucleotide ribosomal RNA is filed under the name uncultured bacterium. RNAcentral's name for it is "bacterial SSU rRNA". It matches the Rfam family "Bacterial small subunit ribosomal RNA", at positions 329 to 792 of the family's 1533-position model. The record is from RNAcentral.
AACCAGACUCCUACGGGAGGCAGCAGUGGGGAAUCUUCCGCAAUGGGCGAAAGCCUGACGGAGCAACGCCGCGUGAUCGAAUGAAGGCCUUCGGGUUGUAAAGAUCUGUUGACAGGGACGAAUAAGCAAUGCGAAUAGUUUUGUGUAUGACGGUACCUGUUUAGAAAGCUCCGGCUAACUACGUGCCAGCAGCCGCGGUAAUACGUAGGGAGCAAGCGUUGUCCGGAAUUACUGGGCGUAAAGGGCGUGUAGGCGGGCAUGCAAGCCAGAAGUGAAAUCUGGGGGCUUAACCCCCAAACUGCUUUUGGAACUGCGUGUCUUGAGUGAUGGAGAGGCAGGCGGAAUUCCCAGUGUAGCGGUGAAAUGCGUAGAUAUUGGGAGGAACACCAGUGGCGAAGGCGGCCUGCUGGACAUUAACUGACGCUGAGGCGCGAAAGCGUGGGGAGCAAACAGGAUUAGAUACCCGUGUA